Molecule: RNA transcript, 758 nt
Organism: Ricinus communis (castor bean)
Lineage: Eukaryota; Viridiplantae; Streptophyta; Magnoliopsida; Malpighiales; Euphorbiaceae
Gene name: protein NUCLEAR FUSION DEFECTIVE 6, mitochondrial
Exons: 5
Source: RefSeq, a predicted model, not a curated record
UGUGAUCAAAGGGACCAUAGUGAUCCACGUAAUCUAGGUGAGUUGAGUAAAACACCUCUUUAAACCCCAAAUGAGUGUAUAGCCUAAAACCCUCAAAAUAUUCCCAACAGCCAAAAGCCAUGUCCGCCACCGCAGCCGCCAGGUCCGUCCUGCGAUCCACCGCCAGACUAACCUCCGGACUGAAACCCAGAAGCGGAACCAACUCAGCUUUCUCUCCAUUUCGCAUCCCUAAGCAAAAUGCACUCUCUCGUCGCAUUUUCAGGUCACCAGUGGAGAUGAGCUGCAGUGUGGAGACGAUGCUCCCCUAUUACACUGCCACUGCCUCGGCUUUGCUCACUUCAAUGCUCUCUGUCUCUCCUCGCUGCUAUGGUUGGACUCCCGAAGGUGUCUAGGGAAGUGGGCAACAUUGCAGGACUAGGUAUAUGAUUAGUUCCCUAUAAUAAGGAAGCCUUCGGUCCUGAAGCCAUUGACAUGGCAAUCCAAGCCUAGAUGAAGAUCGAGCAACCAAAGAUGUGGUCAUUUGGAUUUCUUUGUUAUCAACUUUUAAACUUCUGGAGAAUUUUAUUUGGAAGUAGUUAAAUGAGAUGGGUCCUCUAGAAUAAUGUUGGGGGUUAAAAUAUUGAAUUCUGUCUUCAAUUUUGAGGAGUUUCUGUUGUUGUUUUUUUAAUUCAGUAGAAAGCACCUUUUAAAUGGCAAAAGCCCUAUAUGGUUCAUUCAAUGUUUGAGAAAUAGUGCCAAUAUGCAUUAAAUUUGCUGUA